ACCCUACGGGACGCAGCAGUGAGGAAUAUUGGUCAAUGGGCGGAAGCCUGAACCAGCCAAGUCGCGUGAGGGAAUAAGGCCCUACGGGUCGUAAACCUCUUUUGCCGGGGAGCAAGGGCGGGGACGUGUCCCGGCCCGGAGAGUACCCGGAGAAAAAGCAUCGGCUAACUCCGUGCCAGCAGCCGCGGUAAUACGGAGGAUGCGAGCGUUAUCCGGAUUUAUUGGGUUUAAAGGGUGCGUAGGCGGAGUGUCAAGUCAGCGGUAAAAUUUCGGGGCUCAACCCCGCCGUGCCGUUGAAACUGACG
RNAcentral lists this ribosomal RNA (305 nucleotides) under uncultured bacterium. Its description in RNAcentral is "bacterial SSU rRNA". It matches the Rfam family "Bacterial small subunit ribosomal RNA", at positions 335 to 638 of the family's 1533-position model. The record is from RNAcentral.